RNAcentral lists this long non-coding RNA (646 nucleotides) under Nicotiana tabacum (common tobacco). RNAcentral's name for it is "long non-coding RNA (NTAB_LNC003755)". The record is from RNAcentral. Lineage: Eukaryota; Viridiplantae; Streptophyta; Magnoliopsida; Solanales; Solanaceae.
AAAUAUUCAUGUGCUAUAGCCCACGCCUUCCGAGUGGGUCCGGGCCCCCAGACCCCGAUCGCCUAAAAAUUUUUCAAGCCAUCAAAUACGACCUAAGGAACCAUAGUCACGGCCACGCCAUGUUCGUUCCUCGUUGUUUUGCGUUUUACGGCCAAAAAAUUAGAAUUUCGCCCGAUUCCCAUAUUUUCGUGUGCUAUAGCCCACGCCUUCCGAGUGGGUCCGGGCCCCCGGACCCCGAUCGCCUAAAAUUAUUUCGGACCAUCAAAUAUGACCUAAGGAACCAUAGCCACCGCCCCGCCAUGACGGUUCCUCGUUGUUUUGCGUUUUACGGCCAUAAAACUAGAAUUUCGCCCGAUUCCCAUAUUUUCGUGUGCUAUAGCCCACGCCUUCCGAGUGGGUCCGGGCCCCCGGACCCCGAUCGCCUAAAAUUAUUCUGGACCAUCAAAUACGACCUAAGGAACCAUAGCCACCGCCCCGCCAUGACGGUUCCUCGUUGUUUUGCGUAUUACGGCCAUAAAACUAGAAUUUCGCCCGAUUCUCAUAUUUUCGUGUGCUAUAGCCCACGUCUUCCGAGUGGGUCCGGGCCCCCGGACCCCUAUCACCUAAAAUUAUUCCGGACCAUCAAAUACGACCUAAGGAACCAUAG